GUGGGGAAUUUUGGACAAUGGGCGCAAGCCUGAUCCAGCCAUUCCGCGUGCAGGAUGAAGGCCUUCGGGUUGUAAACUGCUUUUGUACGGAACGAAAAGCCUCUGGUUAAUACCCGGGGGUCAUGACGGUACCGUAAGAAUAAGCACCGGCUAACUACGUGCCAGCAGCCGCGGUAAUACGUAGGGUGCGAGCGUUAAUCGGAAUUACUGGGCGUAAAGCGUGCGCAGGCGGUGCUGUAAGACAGGCGUGAAAUCCCCGGGCUCAACCUGGGAAUUGCGCUUGUGACUGCAGCGCUGGAGUGCGGCAGAGGGGGAUGGAAUUCCGCGUGUAGCAGUGAAAUGCGUAGAUAUGCGGAGGAACACCGAUGGCGAAGGCAAUCCCCUGGGCCUGCACUGACGCUCAUGCACGAAAGCGUGGGGAGCAAACAGGAUUAGAAACCCCUGUAGUCC
RNAcentral lists this ribosomal RNA (450 nucleotides) under uncultured bacterium. RNAcentral's name for it is "partial 16S ribosomal RNA". It matches the Rfam family "Bacterial small subunit ribosomal RNA", at positions 354 to 796 of the family's 1533-position model. The record is from RNAcentral.